GACGAACGCUGGCGGCGUGCUUAACACAUGCAAGUCGUGCGGUAAGGCCCUUUCGGGGGUACACGAGCGGCGAACGGGUGAGUAACACGUGAGCAACCUGCCCUUCACUUUGGGAUAACUGCCGGAAACGGUGGCUAAUACCGGAUAUGACUUCCUCACCCAUGUGGGGUGGUGGAAAGCCUUCGGGUGGUGGGGGAUGGGCUCGCGGUCUAUCAGCUUGUUGGUGGGGUGAUGGCCUACCAAGGCUUCGACGGGUAGCCGGCCUGAGAGGGUGACCGGCCACACUGGGACUGAGACACGGCCCAGACUCCUACGGGAGGCAGCAGUGGGGAAUAUUGGACAAUGGGCGAAAGCCUGAUCCAGCAACGCCGCGUGAGGGAUGACGGCCUUCGGGUUGUAAACCUCUUUCGCCUGCGACGAAGCGAGAGUGACGGUAGCAGGUAAAGAAGCACCGGCCAACUACGUG
RNAcentral lists this ribosomal RNA (466 nucleotides) under uncultured bacterium. Its description in RNAcentral is "partial 16S ribosomal RNA". It matches the Rfam family "Bacterial small subunit ribosomal RNA", at positions 28 to 507 of the family's 1533-position model. The record is from RNAcentral.